Non-coding RNA from Oryctolagus cuniculus (rabbit), 2220 nucleotides. The record is from RefSeq and is a predicted model, not a curated record. NCBI's taxonomy places the organism in Eukaryota, Metazoa, Chordata, Mammalia, Lagomorpha, Leporidae.
GGAGCUGUAAGCCCUGAGCACCGACAGCAUGUUCAUGGGCUUCUCCAGGCCCGGGGGCCCCCGCUCCGGCUUCGGCAGGCCCGCCGAGGGGUCCUGGGCGGCAAGAAGACCGGGGCCGUGCCACUGUUUCUCCGACGCUUGGGAUAAUGGAGCUGAGGACAAAGCUGUCCAUGAAAGCCUGCAAGGACCCUUGGAAAUUCACACCGUUGCCCACGAUGCUUUGCCACUUGGAAGCUGCGACAAGCUGACUUGUCACCGCAAGUCACCUCCUUCCUGCCGCCCAAGGAACGCUGCAUGGAUGCCCCCAGAGAAGCCAGAGAUGUGCUCCGGGAGGUACGGAUGUCCUGACAGAGCUGUGGGUCACAGCAUGGGAUUCUAAAGCAGUGGUGUUGGACCCCAACCCGCAACCCAACCCCGGGCAUCGCGGCGUGGGCCACUUCUCUCUGGGAUGUUGCCUUCUCGGUAGUGGGGCUGGGCCCGGGCAGGGAGCUGCUGCAGGCAUUAAGGAGUGAAUUACCAUGCAGGUGGGAGCUACGGUCUCUAGGAUUGCUGCUGCUAUCCUAUCCCUGCUGGCUAAAUCCUGCUGUGUAGACCCAGCCUUGGUCCUAAAAGCAAAGGAACCCCCCAGGCCACCUCCCCGACCCCUGCUGGGUGUGCUGCGGGGACCAGGUGUCACGUCCCCAGUGCCCGGUGGCCCUGCAGUUAGGGAAGCCUAGUGUCCGGCGACCAGGUGCAGGCCAGGGCAUAGGAGGGCACCUCCCCGUGACCCUGGAGGGACACGCGGGCAGCACCUGGGAGAGCAGGCAGGGUCCAUCCCGACCUCAGCUGAGACCCCCCACUCAGAAAACUACUCCUGACUUCCUUGGGCGGGCUUGCUCUCACAAAGAGCUUCCCCACUCAGGGUGGACUGGUUUCAGCAGCGCAUCAAACCCAGACUCACAGAGCACUCACAGAACUGGAGAGGGGCACGGAAAACCGAGCAGAACCAUCUGCCAUUAGUCCCUGAACUUUGGGGCCUCUGAGUUUUCACGAGUGAAAUGGCUUCUUAGAUUUUCCCAGACUGGUCAUUCCUCACCCAGUCACCCUUCCUGGGAAACCCCCACACUCAACGGGACACCUGGAAUCCCACGCCCCAGUACAGGUGUUCCAAGCUGCAGGGGCCUUUGGUGGCAAAAGGCACGCCCCCUCCUCCAGCUGGUCCGGGGUUGACUCCCUUCCAGCCUGGCCCCUGCACAUGGAACACAUACCUCCGACCCUCCAGGGUCUCACAGGCACCCAGCUGCCCAAGGCGGGGCUGGGGGAGGGGCAUGUGUAUGGGCAGCCUGUGGUGGAAUGACUGGGGAGCACCCCUGCCUCCGAGGGUUUGCUGCUGCAGCUCUGGGAUGAAUCAUCACAGGUGUGGGCGGGGCCCCGAGGUGCCUGGGUAUCUGGUGAGAGAUGGUUCUGGGGCUGUCUUCCUGGGUGUUUCUGGAUGAGAUUCUGGGCAGAGUAAACUGCCCGCCGCUCCGUGCUGUGACACUCAUCUUCUGCGAUUGUGCGCACACUCCAUCGGCUCUCUCAACUACCAGGUCUUCAGUCCAGGACCCGUGCCAUCGACUCUCCUGGGUCUCCAGCCCGCUGACGGCAGAUCCUGGGGCCUUAGCAGUCACAGUCACAUAGGCCAGUUUCUCACAAAUCUCUUUACACAUGAAUACACGCAUAGUCAUACACGCACAGUCAUGUGACCCUUAACAGGGGUACGAUUUAAGACCUGGAUGGGUUCGGUCAAACCUCAUGACUGAGCCAGGAGACCUGUGAGCACACGUGAUGUACGAGGCUGCUGCUGGCUGUUUUGCAGAAUCACCUUCUAGGAAGCAGCGCUGAGCCCAGCAGCUAAGGCACUCACGUCCAUGUUGGGAUACCCGGGCUUGAUUCCUGGCUCUGAUCCAAAUUCCAGCUUCUGGGAAGCCUCAGGUGUAGCACGAGUGGUUGGGUUCCUGCCACCCAUGUGGGAGCUCUGGACUGACUUCCAAGUUCUCAGCCCAGCCUUGGCCAUUGCAGGCAUUUGGGGGAAUGAACCAGCUGAUAGGAGAUCUCCCUGUCUCUCUCUCUCUCUCUCUCCUCUCAAAUAAAUUUUUAAAGAAUUAAAGAAUAUGAAGUUCUGAGAUGAUAAAGUAUAGUAUAGUAAACGCAUCACCCCACAACAUAGCUGUUUGUUAUGGUUACCAAGCACCAUGCACU